This 1446-nucleotide long non-coding RNA is filed under the name Gallus gallus (chicken). RNAcentral describes it as "lncRNA (ENSGALG00010012440.1)". The record is from RNAcentral. Lineage: Eukaryota; Metazoa; Chordata; Aves; Galliformes; Phasianidae.
GUUUAUUCUUUCAAUGGGCAAGAUUAUGAAAGAUGAUUUUCUUUUUUUUGUUAUUGUUUGAAGGCAGGUAGAAUUGAUUCUACCAAACUACCGACAGAUGCUAAACAAGCGUAUUGUCUAAGGUGCUAUCUCAGAGGAAAACAUUGCCUCUUAUUGUGGAGUGCGGUCAUUACUUCUCAUGCAGCUGUUUGUCAAGUUGUUUGGCAGCCUUUUGAUGCUGCUGUGGCCUCAAAAGGGUUAACAGCAAGUCAGCGGUGCUGCUGUAAUCCUCCAGGACUACCAGCAUGCUGCACUGUUGUUGUGUCAGACCGGGGGGGUUCUGGAGGAAGCUGCGCUAGCUGUGGCAGCUGCCUCAGUCACGUCUGUCAUUUUGGGUUUCUGUUUUCAACAACAUGGCUGACGUAGCAGGUAAAGCAAAAGACCACCGUAGCCUGUACAGAACCAUGUUCUUCCACUCCCUCUCACAUCCAGAAAACGCCCUACCUCCUCAGAAAACGAACGCCGUGCGUCAGGAACACGUCCUCGUUGGGGGGAAAGCAAAAACGUGUGUUUGACAAACAACCCUUGUCCUGUCUGCAGUGGUGGAAACAAUGCAGGUUCCCCUUUCAGGAUCCCCAUGGGCAAAUGGAAGAGGGAGGAAUGGCCAGCUUACCAUUAGAGUUGUUGUCAGCUGCCAACUGGCAAUAUUAGUAUUGGGGAACCUUCUACUAGAGCAAGGAAGGCAGUGAAGCUUGAACUAAAGAUCUGAAGCACUUUGCUGUGUCAUCUAUCUUCAUUGUCCCUUCUGGGAGCCACAGAAAUGGUACACACCCCAUCUGGGAACCAAAAACACCUAGCAAGUGCAGCCUGAAUGAGGGCUUGAAAUGCUCUGCCAUUUCAUUUAUCUUCUCCGUCCCUCCUGGCAACCAGAGAAACAGUGGCUGAAGGCACACCCCACCCAGAAACCAGAGACAGCAAGUGCUGUACCCUGAGCAGAAGCCUGAAAGCAAGCCAUUCCAUUCAUCCCCUGCUUCCUGUCUGCAGCACUGUACCUGGCACAGGAGUCACUUAGAAUAUGCAAACUAGGAGGAUGGAACUUCCAGAAAUUCUCACAGAGAAAAUAUAAGGUGACAGAAGCAUACAUCCGAACACCCAAACUGACCUUCUGUGGAUGAGAUAUUCCCCUAACUUUCAUUGAUAUCCCCACUGGUUUUUAAACUCACCCAUGUAAGUUGGAUUAUUUGACCCGAGAUACUCUUUCAGAGUUGAUUGUGUCAGUUAUUAGAGGUUGCCAGUCCUUGGGUCUGGAGUGGUGGGGAGUUGUGAGAAGCCAUUUGGUGACUGUCAACAUCACUAUGUUAUUCCUGUCUAUCCCUAUGUAUUGGAUUGGUUCCAAUUGGACCUUAACCAAAAUUAAACGAAAUAUGUGCUUAGGCUCUUUGGUGUUUCUAAAAUCCACUUUUUUUU